AUAAAAACUGGCGGCGAGCUUACACAUGCAAGUCCAACGGUAGCAGGAAGAAGCUUGCUUCUUUGCUGACGAGUGGCGGACGGGUGAGUAAUGCUUGGGAAUCUGGCUUAUGGAGGGGGAUAACUACUGGAAACGGUAGCUAAUACCGCGUAAUAUCGGAAGAUUAAAGGGUGGGACUUUCGGGCCACCUGCCAUAAGAUGAGCCCAAGUGGGAUUAGGUAGUUGGUGGGGUAAAGGCCUACCAAGCCUGCGAUCUCUAGCUGGUCUGAGAGGAUGGCCAGCCACACUGGAACUGAGACACGGUCCAGACUCCUACGGGAGGCAGCAGUGGGGAAUAUUGCACAAUGGGGGGAACCCUGAUGCAGCCAUGCCGCGUGAAUGAAGAAGGCCUUCGGGUUGUAAAGUUCUUUCGGUGAUGAGGAAGGCGAUUGUUUUAAUAGAACAAUCGAUUGACGUUAGUCACAGAAGAAGCACCGGCUAACUCCGUGCCAGCAGCCGCGGUAAU
This 505-nucleotide ribosomal RNA is filed under the name uncultured bacterium. RNAcentral describes it as "bacterial SSU rRNA". It matches the Rfam family "Bacterial small subunit ribosomal RNA", at positions 36 to 524 of the family's 1533-position model. The record is from RNAcentral.